AUCAUGUUUAAUUUGAGAAUUCAUUUCAAUCCAAAGCAAAACAGGCUGUUUCUUUUAUUCUAUGGAUCCUGUUGGACUGAAAAAACAGAUCUCUAAUUCCAUUAUCAGCUUUGUUUAUUUAUUUAUUUUUACCAUUUUUAUUUAACUAACAGGCAUUACAUCAUUAACAUUUCAGGGGGUCUUUCCCCUUUAUUUUACACAUCGUAAGGUGUUGGAUACGGCUCCCUACCACAUUUGUAGCGGCUAACUGUUGUAUGGUAUCUCCAUGUUAUGCUUUCUCUGGUUAUUGGAUCUUUUUUUUUUUUUUACCAAUGUAUAUCGCUUUGUUCCAUUUGGAUCAAUGUAAAAUCCUGCAAUAAGCAUUGGAUAUCUGGGGAACUCUUCCAGCUUGUCCUUCAUUUUCCUUUAAAUGAUGUUCCACCAUCAUCUCUCCCUGUUUAUCAGCCUACAAUUCCGAAUCCCUUAGACAUGAGAUGAACUAAUAAGAUCCUUGCUUGUAGCUCAGAUCCGGCAUGAAAUUUUUUACAAAUCAUAACCCUAUUGGCAACUAAUGUACCAAAAAUAAUGAAAACUCGUCGACUUGGCUUCAUGAAGAUUUUAUUCAAAGUUACGGGAACCCCAGCUGCAGUAAUGGGGAAUCCUUCUCAAGCUGGAUGUAGAACAGAAAUCAUUGGGAGUGUAGGGAGUCAUUAAUUCUUAUAUAAUUUCUAUCUACGGGGUUCAAAUUAAAAGGAUGGAUUCAACAAGGUCAUCGCUAGUCCCAUGGCAAUGACAUUCUAGCCUGUAGGAUUUCUAUUGCAAUCAGCUUAAAGACCUUUGAGCAUUGAUACGUGAAGUUGAAUCGUGAAAAGCAACUUACAGUCAUCCAUUGUCCAAAAUAAAAGAUUAUCAAUACAAAUGUAUAUCACUGCACUGCACUACUACAGCUAUCCUGUACUUAUCACAAAACAGAUGCCUGCUUAACCAUGUUAAAAAGUCAUGAGUCGGUGGCAGUAUUCACAGGUUAUUUCUUCCUAGUAAGACCUAUUGCAGUAGCUAUUAAUAUAUCUUGAAGAAAUUAUAAAGCAGCUAAAAAAUUCAUGUUUCUCUGCAGGGUACUUGCAUCAUAAUGGAUCCUCCACACUAUAGGUAAGCAAAAUCAGGUUUCUAAAAUACGUAUCAUCUUUCGCAGCCAAUAGCAAGAUCGGGAGGGAGUGAAGCAGGAUCAAGUUCCCAGCAGUCUUUCAAAAGAUCAGGGACAUCAUCACCAGAAAGCUUCCGUGCAGGAAUCUGAUGUGAAAACAACCUAAUGUCCUCCUUUUCAAGCCAUCUAAUAGCCUGACAUCCAAUCUCCUGUCUCUUAAAUACCGUCUUGAAUCCAUCAACUUUCUCAAGAUAUGCCAUGCUCAAUCCAUGAGUUUCACUAUAAGUCGUUAAAAGCACAACUAUAUCAUAGCAGUGUUUAUCUCUAGCUGAACGAUUUCUUCCUGCUGCACCUAAUUUAGCUUCAUUAUAAAGAACCCAAACUGAGCCCUUCCUCGGAUAAAUCCUAUAAAAUUCCUUUGCUGCCCUUUCACAUUCUACCAUGUGCGAAAAGACAUUCACAGAGUUAAUUGAACUCUUCCUGGCGACCUUAAAUCUCCCACAGGAUACAUGAAAUCCCAUUUCCUCCCAACUAACUAACUUGUCAUCCCCAUUAUUCUGAGAGUCCAACCAACUCAUCUUCACUUCAAAUGGAUUUACCGAAAACACUUCCUCAAUCAAACCAUAAUGCCUAGGCAUUCCAUCAUCAUCAUAUAUAGCCCACACUUGCCCUUUCUUAAAAUUCCUCUCAGAUCUAUCUUUAUAAAAAUCAUAGAAAUCCAAAUCCUCCACAUCCACAAUUUCCAUGUCCCUACUCCUGGAACUACGGCGCUUCUCAAUGUCUGAAUUCACUCUCUUCCUAGAAGUCCCUUGCUUGGUGAGCUCUGAAUUUUGAUUCUUCUUCCCAUUCUCUUGAGUCUUAGCUUCAAAAUCUACACUUCUUUUCUUAGUUGAACGUGUCAUAAUCCCCAAAUUUACACUUGCCUCUGAAGGCCCCUGAUUCUCCAUCUCAAAAUCCUUACUCUUCUCAGAUGCCUUUGGUUUCUCAUUCUUUGAAAGACUGCUUUGUUUAGGUUCAUCUCUCUCACUUUCCUUCUCCUUUUCACCUGCAUCUUUCACCUUUUCUUUUUUAUUCAACUUUUCCCUUCUUUGAUUAGCUUUUUGCUUCAUUUCCAACUGCAUUUCCGCAAGUGUCAUUGUCUCCUCUGCAACUUUUACCCUCUUUGACUUUGACCUCUCCUCCAUCUCAUCAUCUCCCACCUUCCCACCUACAGACCUUGCCAAUAUCUGCCCAACAGUACUCAUCCUCCUUGAGCCUCUGCUCCUCAACCUCCCCACACCCCACUCACCACCAUCCACUUCCUUCCCCACAUCACCACUCUCUUCCUCCUUCAAAUUCUCACCACUAGCUUGCCUCUUUGAGCCUACACUUCUAGUUGUCUCACCAGUACCCUUUCCCCACUCCAACCCAACACCUUUGGGACCAUCCAUCUUCCUCUUCAACCUCUCACCUGGUUUAGAAGCCAAGACAUCCUCCUUUCCCGUACUUUCACCAUGACCAUCAUCUUCUCCAUCAACCUCCACAGCCAAAAAGCUCUUCUUACAACUUGGGCAGACCAAAUUAUGCCCCAAAUACGUCUUUUCAAACUUAUGCAACAACCUACAGCGCGAACAGGCAGUCCAAAAUGUCUCACCAACAACACCAUUAUUCCCUUCCAAUCCAUCAAGCCUUUCCUCCUGAAUCCUAAUCCUAAGCUUCAUAUCAUAUUCUUUCCUCCUGAUCUUAUCAGAAAACAUCCUAAACCCUUCACCCACUAGCUUAAACGCUUCUUCACAUCCUAAAAAAGGGUUCUUGUCAGGAUGCAAAAUCAAAGCUAGUUUUCUAUACUGUUUCUUGAUGGAGUUAAAGUGGGAAAAGGGUUCUACCUGGAGAAUUUUAUACCAAUCGGGAGCAUGGUUGGAUUUGGAAGCCGCCCGGAGAAUCUUAAAGGCAGUGAGCAUGGAGGAGAUGCCUUCGAGGUUAGGACAAAGACGGUGGGCUUUCUUGGCAUGUUUGAGAGCGGAUUGGAGGUUUGAAUUCUUGUAUUUGGUUUCAGCUAGUGCUUUCAAGAGUUGUGCUUCUUGCUCUGCAUCUGAGUGAGUCGUCAUCUCUGAGACAACGAGGAGAAGGGUUCCCUGUCGGUAGAGAAUAAAUUUUUUAGGUUAGGGGGUGGCUUAACCACAAAGUUGUGUUUUUGUGUGUUUCGCCGGUUUGAGUUCUGUAAUAAGGAAUCGUAAUGCCCCCUUUCUUUACUUUUUGAUUUCCGAUUUUUCCUGUUGGACAAUAAGAAAAACAAGCCAAAAUUCAGCUAACCACUUCCUCUCUCCUUUUCUUUUUUCUAUUAAAGAAUCAGCUGAAAAUUUUAGCUUUUUAAAUGAGUAAAACUGUUUUCUA
This 3496-nucleotide long non-coding RNA is filed under the name Gossypium barbadense (sea-island cotton). RNAcentral's name for it is "long non-coding RNA (GBAR_LNC007577)". Lineage: Eukaryota; Viridiplantae; Streptophyta; Magnoliopsida; Malvales; Malvaceae. The record is from RNAcentral.